GUAAAUUCUUUGAGGUCAGGGACUAUUUCAUCCUUAUCUAUAUAUCUACAUCAUUUCAUAUAGUGCCAAUACAGCAUCUGGCAUAACGUCCAAUUUACAGGAAAAUGUUAGUUGUCAUACUUUGUAGAUGUGGAAGUAAAAAGUUGAAAAGUUUGGGCAAUAUGCCUAGGUUUAUAAAAUUAACAUGUCUUCUUACUCUUGGUUGGACUGAAUAAAAGAGUUAUUAUGAUGCAAUGAAAGGAUUAUAAGACUUCCAUUCUAAUCUUAACUUUGUUACUUAACACCAGUAGGACUUUGGACAAGAGAUUUUGCCUUCCUCAAUUUCAGCCUCUUAAUCUAAAAGAGGAGGAUAUUGACAUGUCACAAAGGGAAAAAAUGAAUUUCUAAUGGUUGCAGAGACUUCACCGCACUGUCAAAGGGGUCCAGGACACAAAAGAGAAUAUGAGAGCAUAUGCCCUUGCUUGAGGAUGUUUCAAGUGAUACUUUCAGCUAUCCAAGAGCCUUCCAGACUCCAGUCACAGGAGAGAAGCGUUUUCAUCCCAUCCAUUCAUAGAUUUGCCUCCUGA
This 566-nucleotide long non-coding RNA is filed under the name Monodelphis domestica (gray short-tailed opossum). RNAcentral describes it as "lncRNA (ENSMODG00000050672.1)". Lineage: Eukaryota; Metazoa; Chordata; Mammalia; Didelphimorphia; Didelphidae. The record is from RNAcentral.